CCCAUAGCUCAGUUGGUCAGAGCAGCCGGCUCAUAACCGGACGGUCCCAGGUUCGAGCCCUGGUGGGCCUA
RNAcentral lists this transfer RNA (71 nucleotides) under Deltaproteobacteria bacterium. RNAcentral describes it as "tRNA-Met". It matches the Rfam family "tRNA". From Rfam's summary of the family: Transfer RNA (tRNA) molecules are approximately 80 nucleotides in length. Their secondary structure includes four short double-helical elements and three loops (D, anti-codon, and T loops). Lineage: Bacteria; Pseudomonadati; Myxococcota; Myxococcia. The record is from RNAcentral.